Cercocebus atys (sooty mangabey) is the source of this 104-nucleotide small nuclear RNA. NCBI's taxonomy places the organism in Eukaryota, Metazoa, Chordata, Mammalia, Primates, Cercopithecidae. The record is from Ensembl.
GUGCUUACUUCAGCAGCACAUAUACUAAAAUUAGAACAGUUUAGGCGUGAGCAUGGCCCCUGCACAAGGAUGACGUGCAAAUUUGUGAUGCAUUCCCUAUUAUU